RNAcentral lists this long non-coding RNA (270 nucleotides) under Chrysolophus pictus (golden pheasant). RNAcentral describes it as "lncRNA (ENSCPIG00010005950.1)". The record is from RNAcentral. Lineage: Eukaryota; Metazoa; Chordata; Aves; Galliformes; Phasianidae.
GUCUUAAUAUUUCAGCUGUUACUUUUUUUUUUUUUUUCCCUCUCUUAGGGACCACGUGGCUUACCAGGUAUCAAGGGAGAACCAGGAAAGGAUGGAACAAAGGGUGACCGUGGACUGCCUGGUUUUCCUGGAUUACAUGGGAUGCCAGCACCAAAGGGCGAAAGGGGCCCCAAAGGAGACCAAGGACUGCCAGGGAUAUAUGGAAAAAAGGCAAGUAAAAUUAUAAAAUAAUGUUAUUGAUACGUGUGGUGGGGUUGUUUGUCACAUUUU